CGGCGUGCCUAAUACAUGCAAGUCGAACGAGUUCUGAUUAUUGAAAGGUGCUUGCAUCUUGAUUUAAUUUUGAACGAGUGGCGGACGGGUGAGUAACACGUGGGUAACCUGCCCUUAAGUGGGGGAUAACAUUUGGAAACAGAUGCUAAUACCGCAUAAAUCCAAGAACCGCAUGGUUCUUGGCUGAAAGAUGGCGUAAGCUAUCGCUUUUGGAUGGACCCGCGGCGUAUUAGCUAGUUGGUGAGGUAACGGCUCACCAAGGCAAUGAUACGUAGCCGAACUGAGAGGUUGAUCGGCCACAUUGGGACUGAGACACGGCCCAAACUCCUACGGGAGGCAGCAGUAGGGAAUCUUCCACAAUGGACGCAAGUCUGAUGGAGCAACGCCGCGUGAGUGAAGAAGGCUUUCGGGUCGUAAAACUCUGUUGUUGGAGAAGAAUGGUCGGCAGAGUAACUGUUGUCGGCGUGACGGUAUCCAACCAGAAAGCCACGGCUAACUACGUGCCAGCAGCCGCGGUAAUACGUAGGUGGCAAGCGUUAUCCGGAUUUAUUGGGCGUAAAGCGAGCGCAGGCGGUUUUUUAAGUCUGAUGUGAAAGCCCUCGGCUUAACCGAGGAAGUGCAUCGGAAACUGGGAAACUUGAGUGCAGAAGAGGACAGUGGAACUCCAUGUGUAGCGGUGAAAUGCGUAGAUAUAUGGAAGAACACCAGUGGCGAAGGCGGCUGUCUGGUCUGUAACUGACGCUGAGGCUCGAAAGCAUGGGUAGCGAACAGGAUUAGAUACCCUGGUAGUCCAUGCCGUAAACGAUGAAUGCUAGGUGUUGGAGGGUUUCCGCCCUUCAGUGCCGCAGCUAACGCAUUAAGCAUUCCGCCUGGGGAGUACGACCGCAAGGUUGAAACUCAAAGGAAUUGACGGGGGCCCGCACAAGCGGUGGAGCAUGUGGUUUAAUUCGAAGCAACGCGAAGAACCUUACCAGGUCUUGACAUCUUUUGAUCACCUGAGAGAUCAGGUUUCCCCUUCGGGGGCAAAAUGACAGGUGGUGCAUGGUUGUCGUCAGCUCGUGUCGUGAGAUGUUGGGUUAAGUCCCGCAACGAGCGCAACCCUUAUGACUAGUUGCCAGCAUUUAGUUGGGCACUCUAGUAAGACUGCCGGUGACAAACCGGAGGGAGGUGGGGAUGACGUCAAAUCAUCAUGCCCCUUAUGACCUGGGCUACACACGUGCUACAAUGGAUGGUACAACGAGUUGCGAGACCGCGAGGUCAAGCUAAUCUCUUAAAGCCAUUCUCAGUUCGGACUGUAGGCUGCAACUCGCCUACACGAAGUCGGAAUCGCUAGUAAUCGCGGAUCAGCACGCCGCGGUGAAUACGUUCCCGGGCCUUGUACACACCGCCCGUCACACCAUGAGAGUUUGUAACACCCGAAGCCGGUGGCGUAACCCUUUUAGGGAGCGAGCCGUCUAAGGUGGGACAAAUGAUUAGGGUG
RNAcentral lists this ribosomal RNA (1480 nucleotides) under uncultured organism. RNAcentral's name for it is "SSU rRNA". It matches the Rfam family "Bacterial small subunit ribosomal RNA". The record is from RNAcentral.